RNAcentral lists this transfer RNA (73 nucleotides) under Spirochaeta isovalerica. It matches the Rfam family "tRNA". From Rfam's summary of the family: Transfer RNA (tRNA) molecules are approximately 80 nucleotides in length. Their secondary structure includes four short double-helical elements and three loops (D, anti-codon, and T loops). Lineage: Bacteria; Pseudomonadati; Spirochaetota; Spirochaetia; Spirochaetales; Spirochaetaceae. The record is from Rfam by way of RNAcentral.
UCCCCUGUAGCUCAGUUGGUAGAGCGGGUGACUGUUAAUCACUAGGUCAGGAGUUCGAGUCUCUUCGGGGGAG